GUUGAUUUUUUUUAUGCGUGUUCUUUAACUGUUAAGAAAUAUUCUUAUUGUUAUUAUAGUCAUUGGCAGCAGAUUAUUUGCAGCAAUGCAUUCCUCAAAUCCAAUUGCGCAAACACAAGAAUACAAUAUUAGAAAAUAUGAUAUGGAUCGGAUGAGGAUUUGUAGGAAAUAAAUUAUGAAGUUAAUGAUGAAUGUGAUAAUGUAGACAACUUGGAUGUUGGUGUACAAAAUGAACCAGUUAAUGUCAUAUCGCGAGCAUGAUGGUUGUAUACUU
Long non-coding RNA from Ipomoea nil (Japanese morning glory), 274 nucleotides. RefSeq lists it as uncharacterized. NCBI's taxonomy places the organism in Eukaryota, Viridiplantae, Streptophyta, Magnoliopsida, Solanales, Convolvulaceae. The record is from RefSeq and is a predicted model, not a curated record. The transcript is spliced from 2 exons.